AAAUACGAUCGGGCUUCGUUUGGGCUUACUUAGUCUCCGUCUCCGUAAUUUUGCGUGUGGCACUGUUAAUUGAGUUGGUCUAAAAACACAGAAAAUUAAUAUUUGAUCGGGCUUCGAAUUAAUACCUUUUCUCAAAACCAUUCACUUUUAACAUAGUCGUUGUAUUGGUAAAACGAAAGCCUAAGCUUUCUCAUCCUGUCAAUAACACUAAUCGCCGUCAAGUGAAAAAUAAUGGACACUGGGAUUUGCCAAGUGAACAAGAUUUGAGACGAGAUGUAACUCUUCCGCUUCCAAGCGUUUCUGUUCUUCUUCUUUACCCCCUGAACCGUCUUCAUCAUCUCCACGCCCUACCAAGCGAUCUAAGGCGGUGGAACCGGCGGGGUCUUCCUCGGCGAGCGAGGUUCCGGUUGAGAAUCAAGUAUCAGAAUCUGGAGAGACAGAGCUUGGAUCCUCUGAUCCCCAAACUAUGGAUUUGGAGAAGCCUGUUUUAACUGAUGUGCCUGUGAUGGAGAUCUAUCCUGAAGCCGACACAAAACCUGAAGCCGAUGUCUUAGCGACACCUACCGUGACAGGUGAAGUGGUGACGGAUGGUAAGAAGUCGAAGGCGGGGAAGAAGCGAACUAAGGCUCCAUGGGCGAAACUACUUUCUCAGUAUUAUCAGGCAUGCUUUGAUGCGCCAGGGGUUUAGUAAAUUUAAGUUUUUUUUUCCAUCUCAAGAAAAUUCUUAAAGGAAAUAAGGAAAAGAAAAUGUUGCUUACAUUGGUUGAUUUCUUAGGAUGUUUCAAGAGAUUUCAAAAGCACCUUGGAGCAUGAAAUUGGCCUUGAUGAAAUCUCAACGCUAGAUGUCUACAACCGGAACAGAAUGCACAGUGCUCCCCUCCUCCACCACCUGUUGGAAACAUUGAAGAUCCUGUGACUACUACAAGUGAGCCCAAUGAUGCUCAAUCACAAAAAGCUUACACAAUCGAGGAUUACCUCAAGAUCACUGAAGAGCAGAUCAAAGCUUCAUCUCCUGGUAAAAGCCAAACAGAGGAUCAAAUUCAGACUCAAGAACCUGCUGUACAAAGCCAGCCUGAAGUUACAUCGAGAGAGACCAUGGCUGCAUCUCCUCCAAGGCAAGAUUGAAAGGCACCCAAAAAAUUGAGUCGUCAUGUUAAAAGCAUUAAAGCCUCUAUGUCUCCUACUUAAUGAUUAUAAAUGGGGUUUGUUAGUUAAAUAUCGUCCUACUCUUGAAUGACCAACCCAUCAUUUUAUGAGUCAAAGAUAGUUAAUAGGGAAACUUGAUUGUAUAACUAAAAACUUAAUAUUACUAAUCUGAUAUGUGUUUCAAACCCA
Long non-coding RNA from Brassica rapa (field mustard), 1335 nucleotides. RefSeq lists it as uncharacterized. Lineage: Eukaryota; Viridiplantae; Streptophyta; Magnoliopsida; Brassicales; Brassicaceae. The record is from RefSeq and is a predicted model, not a curated record.